AUUGAACGCUGGCGGCAUGCCGUACACAUGCAAGUCGAACGGUAACAGGUCUUCGGAUGCUGACGAGUGGCGAACGGGUGAGUAAUACAUCGGAACGUGCCUAGUAGUGGGGGAUAACUACUCGAAAGAGUGGCUAAUACCGCAUGAGAUCUACGGAAAGCAGGGGAUCGCAAGACCUUGUGCUACUAGAGCGGCCGAUGGCAGAUUAGGUAGUUGGUGGGAUAAAAGCUUACCAAGCCGACGAUCUGUAGCUGGUCUGAGAGGACGAUCAGCCACACUGGGACUGAGAAACGGCCCAGACUCCUACGGGAGGCAGCAGUGGGGAAUUUUGGACAAUGGGCGCAAGCCUGAUCCAGCAAUGCCGCGUGCAGGAUGAAGGCCUUCGGGUUGUAAACUGCUUUUGUACGGAACGAAAAGCCCCGGGUUAAUACCCUGGGGUCAUGACGGUACCGUAAGAAUAAGCACCGGCUAACUACGUGCCAGCAGCCGCGGUAA
Molecule: ribosomal RNA, 495 nt
Filed under: uncultured bacterium
Lineage: Bacteria
Description: partial 16S ribosomal RNA
Rfam family: Bacterial small subunit ribosomal RNA
Source: RNAcentral